UACGUAGGGUGCAAGCGUUUGUCCGGAAUUAUUUGGGCGUAAAGAGCUCGUAGGCGGUCUGUCGCGUCGGCUGUGAAAACCCGGGGCUCAACCCCGGGCCUGCAGUCGAUACGGGCAGACUAGAGUGUGGUAGGGGAGACUGGAAUUCCUGGUGUAGCGGUGAAAUGCGCAGAUAUCAGGAGGAACACCGGUGGCGAAGGCGGGUCUCUGGGCCGAUACUGACGCUGAGGAGCGAAAGCGUGGGGAGCGAACAGG
This 255-nucleotide ribosomal RNA is filed under the name uncultured bacterium. RNAcentral describes it as "partial 16S ribosomal RNA". It matches the Rfam family "Bacterial small subunit ribosomal RNA", at positions 524 to 776 of the family's 1533-position model. The record is from RNAcentral.